RNAcentral lists this ribosomal RNA (484 nucleotides) under uncultured bacterium. RNAcentral describes it as "partial 16S ribosomal RNA". It matches the Rfam family "Bacterial small subunit ribosomal RNA", at positions 30 to 507 of the family's 1533-position model. The record is from RNAcentral.
AUUGAACGCUGGCGGCAGGCCUAACACAUGCAAGUCGAGCGGAUGAAGGGAGCUUGCUCCUGGAUUCAGCGGCGGACGGGUGAGUAAUGCCUAGGAAUCUGCCUGGUAGUGGGGGAUAACGUCCGGAAACGGGCGCUAAUACCGCAUACGUCCUGAGGGAGAAAGUGGGGGAUCUUCGGACCUCACGCUAUCAGAUGAGCCUAGGUCGGAUUAGCUAGUUGGUGGGGUAAAGGCCUACCAAGGCGACGAUCCGUAACUGGUCUGAGAGGAUGAUCAGUCACACUGGAACUGAGACACGGCCCAGACUCCUACGGGAGGCAGCAGUGGGGAAUAUUGGACAAUGGGCGAAAGCCUGAUCCAGCCAUGCCGCGUGUGUGAAGAAGGUCUUCGGACUGUAAAGCACUUUAAGUUGGGAGGAAGGGCAGUAAGUUAAUACCUUGCUGUUUUGACGUUACCAACAGAAUAAGCACCGGCUAACUUCGUG